RNAcentral lists this unclassified non-coding RNA (385 nucleotides) under Hevea brasiliensis (rubber tree). The record is from RNAcentral. Lineage: Eukaryota; Viridiplantae; Streptophyta; Magnoliopsida; Malpighiales; Euphorbiaceae.
GCAAAACCUGGGUAACUCCACCAUGCAUCAAGAAAUCGAAUUGGUCUCGGGCCCUAGUCAGAGAUAUUUGAAGAGAGAAGGAUGGGGUUGUGAUCUAAGCCUCCUCUAGGUAAGCCCAUGAGAGUGAGAUUAGGAAAAAUAGUAAUCCAAUGAUGUGAAGACAAGGCUCUAUCAAUGCAGCUCAUUGAGGAGGUAUUCCUCUAGAUAAAAUGUAUGCCACUAAGUGAAAUAUCAAGAAGAUAAAGGUUAUUCACAAAAGACUAAAAUUGUCUCAUACUCACUAAGGAUGACCAGCCACUUUUUCUAUUAGAUAUAGAUAAAAUUUGAUUAAAGUCCCCUAUGAGAAGUAUAGGCCCAUCAAUUAACUCAAUGACAUGUGUUAAUU